Molecule: ribosomal RNA, 500 nt
Filed under: uncultured bacterium
Lineage: Bacteria
Description: partial 16S ribosomal RNA
Rfam family: Bacterial small subunit ribosomal RNA
Source: RNAcentral
AUUGAACGCUGGCGGCAUGCUUUACACAUGCAAGUCGAACGGUAACAGGGUGCUUGCACCGCUGACGAGUGGCGAACGGGUGAGUAAUGCGUCGGAACGUGCCGAGUAGUGGGGGAUAACGCAGCGGAAGUUGUGCUAAUACCGCAUACGUACUGAGGUAGAAAGUGGGGGACCUUCGGGCCUCACGCUAUUCGAGCGGCCGACGUCUGAUUAGCUAGUAGGUGAGGUAAAGGCUCACCUAGGCGACGAUCAGUAGCGGGUCUGAGAGGAUGAUCCGCCACACUGGGACUGAGACACGGCCCAGACUCCUACGGGAGGCAGCAGUGGGGAAUUUUGGACAAUGGGCGAAAGCCUGAUUCAGCCAUGCCGCGUGUCUGAAGAAGGCCUUCGGGUUGUAAAGGACUUUUGUCGGGGAGGAAAUCCCCAGCGUUAAUACCGCUGGGGGAUGACAGUACCUGAAGAAUAAGCACCGGCUAACUACGUGCCAGCAGCCGCCGUAA